AUUGAACGCUGGCGGCAGGCCUAACACAUGCAAGUCGAACGAGUGGCGGACGGGUGAGUAAUGUCUGGGAAUCUGCCUGAUGGAGGGGGAUAACUACUGGAAACGGUAGCUAAUACCGCAUACCAUCGGAUGAGCCCAGAUGGGAUUAGCUAGUAGGUGGGGUAACGGCUCACCUAGGCGACGAUCCCUAGCUGGUCUGAGAGGAUUACCAGCCACACUGGGACUGAGACACGGGCCAGACUCCUACGGGAGGCCGCAGUGGGGAAUAUUGCACAAUGGGCGCAAGCCUGAUGCAGCCCUUCCGCGGGUAUGAAGAAGGCCUUCGGGUUGUAAAGUACUUUCAGCUAGGAGGCGUUACUCGCAGAAGAAGCACCGGCUAACUCCGUGCCAGCAGCCGCGGUAAUAC
This 406-nucleotide ribosomal RNA is filed under the name uncultured bacterium. Its description in RNAcentral is "partial 16S ribosomal RNA". It matches the Rfam family "Bacterial small subunit ribosomal RNA", at positions 30 to 526 of the family's 1533-position model. The record is from RNAcentral.